RNAcentral lists this ribosomal RNA (500 nucleotides) under uncultured bacterium. Its description in RNAcentral is "partial 16S ribosomal RNA". It matches the Rfam family "Bacterial small subunit ribosomal RNA", at positions 29 to 523 of the family's 1533-position model. The record is from RNAcentral.
AUUGAACGCUGGCGGCGUGCUUAACACAUGCAAGUCGAUCGGUAACGCGGGGGCAACCCUGGCGACGAGAGGCGGACGGGUGAGGAACGCUUGGGAAUCUGCCUAUCAGCGGGGGACAACCCGGGGGAACUCGGGCUAAUACCGCAUACGCUCUACGGAGGAAAGCCGGGGACCGCAAGGCCUGGCACUGACAGAUGAGCCAAAGUCGGAUUAGCGAGUUGGCGGGGUAACGGCCCACCAAGGCGACGAUCCGUAGCUGGUCUGAGAGGACGAUCAGCCACACUGGGACUGAGACACGGCCCAGACUCCUACGGGAGGCAGCAGUGGGGAAUAUUGGACAAUGGGGGAAACCCUGAUCCAGCGACGCCGCGUGGGUGAAGAAGGCCUGCGGGUUGUAAAGCCCUUUCGGUAGGGACGAAAGCUCUCGACCUAACACGUCGGGAGGUUGACUUAACCUACAAAAGAAGCACCGGCUAACUCUGUGCCAGCAGCCGCAGUAA